This 609-nucleotide long non-coding RNA is filed under the name Monodelphis domestica (gray short-tailed opossum). RNAcentral describes it as "lncRNA (ENSMODG00000030513.2)". The record is from RNAcentral. Lineage: Eukaryota; Metazoa; Chordata; Mammalia; Didelphimorphia; Didelphidae.
UGAGCCUCUUGUCAGAAAUAAAAUGAGGAGCCUGAGAUAGUUUUUUGUCUUGUUUGAUUUUUUACAGGAAGAGUUAGCUACACUGAUUUGAACCUCUGGAAGAGAUAGAAAAGCAAAAAUAUGGACCUACCCUCAAGGAGCUCACAUUCUAACAGAAGCAACCACAAGCAAAUAGCUAUAUGCAUUCCAGACUUACACAAUGCAAAUGGAAGGAAAUCAUCAGCAUGAUAAUGUCAGAAAAACUGGAAUGACUUACAUGAACUGAUACAAAAUGAAGGAAGCAGAACCAAGGAAAUAUGUUCUUUCUCUGGAUGUGGAUGGUGUUCUUUCUCAUAAGUUCUUCUGGGUUGUCCUGUGUCACUGCACUGCUGCUAAUAAAAAAGUCCAUUACAUUCAAUUGUGCCAUACUGUAUCAGUCUCUAUUUACAAUGUUCUCCUGGUUCUGCUCCUUUCACUCUGCAUUAAUUCCUGGAGGUCUUUCCAGUUCACAUGGAAUUACUCCAGUUCAUUAUUCCUUUCAGCACAAUAAUAUUCCAUCACCAUCAGAUACCAAAAUUUAUUCAGCCUUUCCCUAGUCAAUGGACACCCCCUCAUUUUUCAAUUGUUUGC